AUCAGCAUGCCGCGGUGAAUACGUUCCCGGGCCUUGUACACACCGCCCGUCACACCAUGAGAGUCGGGAACACCCGAAGUCCGUAGUCUAACCGCAAGGAGGGCGCGGCCGAAGGUGGGUUCGAUAAUUGGGGUGAAGUCGUAACAAGGUACC
RNAcentral lists this ribosomal RNA (153 nucleotides) under uncultured bacterium. Its description in RNAcentral is "partial 16S ribosomal RNA". It matches the Rfam family "Bacterial small subunit ribosomal RNA", at positions 1348 to 1500 of the family's 1533-position model. The record is from RNAcentral.